CUCUGCUUUAAGCCGACUAUACGCCAUAUUGUAAUUCGUAAGGAGGCAAUUUCACGGUAUAUAUAUGUACACAGAAUGUUCGCUUGUACAGCGCCUUAUCCGGGCUUAUGGUCAGGUCAAGGGCUUCACAACUGACAAAAGGUUCAGAAGGGUUGAGAGCAGUCCUUCCCUUGCAAUGAUGGGAGGCUGACAGAGAGGAGGGGCACGGUCUGCUGGAUGGCCUGUAGUGCUGGUGGCAGCAACUGAACGUCUUGUGUGUCUCCUGAAGACGACGCAAGAAAACAUCUCUCUGGGCUGUAGGAGGCAGAGAAGAGUAGUGCCUAUUCCUUUUUAUCCUAUUGGAUGGUAUGAGACUUGCACGCUUAACCAGUCUCUCUCUCAAUGAAUGUAACUGCUUGUAGUGGCCAUACUGGUCCACUACCUUGAGAUACAAUAGAGUUUUGUUAAUGGGGGGUUGAUAUUCCAUCAUCAUUUCAAUGUACGCCUUACAGUUUGCAAACACCUGUUCUACUUGAUAUUUAUCUGCCAGCUCAAGGAGGUCCUCAAUGGUGUUGUCUGAAAACAGAAAUUUUUCACAUUAUGAGAUCCACCAUGUUAUUUUAUAAUUUUUUUAUUUAUUAUUUAGUCAAUGUCACAGAGGGGUGUUGAGGAGGCGACAAAGAUGAUAAAACUGUCAAAAAUGUGAAAAACUGCCAAAAACUGUCAGAAAAGUCUGUGGAGAGAAGCCUCACCUUUCAUUAACUCAAAUCCUCGCCCAGGGUAGAUUUGCUCCAAGAGAUUUACCAUGGCAUCGUAGUUUCUGGUUUCAAGUGUGAUCUCUUUUAAAUUUUUUUCCUGGAAGUCAUCUGUAAACAUGGCCUUAAACACAGGCGAGUGAUUCAUCAUCAGAGAAGACAAAACAAAAAGGACAAACGCAUUCACUUAAGGCCCAGAAAAAUCUUAGUUGUCAUGAUAGGUUGAGACUGUUUUCUGUAUCUACUACAUUUAUUCAUGCAUGAAAUAAAACCUUUGGGUCAGUGAACGCAGAAUAAAGUGCCUGUUACCACGAG
This is a long non-coding RNA of Pomacea canaliculata, 1049 nucleotides long. RefSeq lists it as uncharacterized. The transcript is spliced from 3 exons. The record is from RefSeq and is a predicted model, not a curated record. NCBI's taxonomy places the organism in Eukaryota, Metazoa, Mollusca, Gastropoda, Architaenioglossa, Ampullariidae.